RNAcentral lists this long non-coding RNA (541 nucleotides) under Lucilia cuprina (Australian sheep blowfly). RNAcentral's name for it is "uncharacterized LOC124420439, transcript variant X1". Lineage: Eukaryota; Metazoa; Arthropoda; Insecta; Diptera; Calliphoridae. The record is from RNAcentral.
ACUUUUCGUUUUGUUUUUGCUUUUAAUUGCAUACAAAAGUGAUUUUUUCCCAAUUUGUUUUUGUAUUUAAUUGUUUAGUGAAAAUAAAUAAAUAAUAAUUAUAAAGAAAGCUUUAAUUGUUGUUUUCUAAAGUGAUAAUUGAAAGUGUUACCAAUUAAAAUAGCCGAAGAAGAAGAAACUGAAAAAAAGGAAUAAAAGUUUAAAAGUAGAAAAAAAUCUAGGAAAAGAAGAUUGAAAUAAAAUAAAAAUUGAAGCAACAGCAAAUAACCUGUUUUUAGUGCCUAUUAUCGUUUUCUUAAAACAAAAAGUAAAACCUAAAAAGUUUUAAUUUCAUUUUGCAAUUCUAUAUCAUUUGAAAGGCUUUUUUGAAGUGACAAAAACAUCAUAAAAAAAACAACUUAAACAAAUAAGUAUCAACAUUAAUAAGUCCAGUUAUUUACUGUUUUAAAGUGUCUUUUGGUAAAAAAAAAAUCAAUUUAUUCCUAACUAAAACAAAGUCUGCCUGCCAAUAUUUAAUUUUUUCAAUUCUCAAAUUAAAAUC